CAGUGAAAUCUGGGAUCAAGAAUAAUCUCAUCUGGGGUGGCCAGCCACUCUGGACUCACGGUUUCCAGGGUCUUCUGAGUAUAUACAACCAUCCUCCAGACUGCAAAAAACACGAUAUUUACUCUGACAAAGCCACAAGAGCCCCAGGUUUAUGUCCAUGAAAGAUCAGACAGAAUCCAGAGCAGCGACUCAUCAGUGGUGACUGACAACCUGAUGUGCAACUAAUGUGAAGAAGCUCAGCCCUGGAAAAGCAAAAACCCAUUGGAUCCAGAGGUGCCUGAGUUGGAGAUGAACUUUGGAACUUCCCUCAUAACCGUACUAAAAUCCCUGACCAGAGAGUAACUUAUUUGCCAUUUUCUAUACAUGUGACAUAUGUAGAAGCAUGAUCAAUGACAGCACAUGUGCUAUUAAUAUCUUGCUCCAUCUCGACAUACAGUGACUCAGCUCACCAGGCCAACAAAAGGCCUGUUUUCACCUUUGAUUGGAGGAGGCACUCCUUUGAGAACUAUCCCCCAUGUCCUCCUCAUUUGUUGCCACUAAUAAAAUCCCUUUAAGUCCCCAUUGCUUAAGUCCCCAUUGGUUGUGGUCACUGGACUGCCACCUGCCAUGUGAUGGCACUGACCCGUUGUAUGGGUAACAAAACUUAUACAGUGUAUCACUGUCCUGGAUACUGCAGGCAAUUGGAAUGCAAUGCUAAGCAUUUGCAUAACUAAACAUAGAAAAGGUACAGUAGGACUAGGUGUGAUGGCUCACACCUGUAGUCCCAGCACUUUGGGAGGCUGAGGCAGGCAGAUCAGUUGAGCCCAGGAAUUUGAGAUCAGCCUGAACAACAUGGAGAAAUGCAGUCUCUACAAAAAAUACAAAAAUUAGCUGGGAGUAAUGGCCUGUGCCUGUAAUCCCAGUUACUGAGGAGGCUAAAGUGGGAGGAUCCCUUGAGCCCAGGAGUCUGAGGCUGCAGUGAGUCAUGAUCUUGCCUCUGUGCUCCAGCCUGGGCAAUAGAGUGAGACCCUGUCUCAAAAAAAAAAAAAAAAGAUACAGUAAAACUAUGGUAUUAUAGGCCAGGUGUAGUGGCUCACGCCUGUAAUCUCAGCACUUUGGGAAACCAAGACAGGUGGAUUGCUUGAGGCCAGGAGUUCAAAACCAGCCUGACCAACAUGACGAAACCCCAUCUCUACUAAAAAUACAAAAAAUUAGCCAGGUGUGGUGGUGGGCACCUGUAAUCCCAGCUACUAGGGAGGCUGAGGCAGGAGAAUCGUUUGAACCCGGGAGGUGAGGGUUGCAGUGAGCCGGGAUCACGCCACUGUACUCCAGCCUGGGCAACAAGACU
Molecule: long non-coding RNA, 1327 nt
Filed under: Homo sapiens (human)
Lineage: Eukaryota; Metazoa; Chordata; Mammalia; Primates; Hominidae
Description: HSALNT0160879
Source: RNAcentral